Molecule: long non-coding RNA, 570 nt
Organism: Fundulus heteroclitus (mummichog)
Lineage: Eukaryota; Metazoa; Chordata; Actinopteri; Cyprinodontiformes; Fundulidae
Exons: 3
Source: RefSeq, a predicted model, not a curated record
CAAGGUCAGAAAAACCAAGGAAAGACCUCAGUGCCUUUACUUCCUCUAAGGCACCUCACUCAUACCACCAAUCUAAGCAUUUCCAGGGCCAAUGCCAACAAGCAGAGCGGCCACACAUCCAGGCCCCAGUUUACUACGUGGCUUCCAACUCACAAGAGCACAAGAGAAAACCCAGGCAUUCCCAGGCCACUGGAAGCUCUGAGGCUCGUCACCCCCAGUACUUUAAGAGUGACAAGUUGCCUGAACACGCCUCAGCUGUUACGGUGAUCCCUCCCUCGUUGGACAUUGAACAGGCAAUCAAACGUAUCAGUGAUCUCACGCAGCAGGUGGACGAUCUUAGACAGGAGCUGCAAGGUUCAUCAGGGCUCAGGUUAUCAACAAUUUCAAUUGGUGCUGGUGACAGAUGGGGUACUGGUGGAAACAUAGCUAGUGUUGGUCAGCAAAGAAGAAGGAAGACACGUCCAGGAAGAGAACAUGUGGAGAGCAUGUGCAGGACCCUGCAGAACUCUGACAUCUUUCUACACCACCAAUCAGAAGCAGGAAGAGAAAACAAUGAUCUCCACAAACAAA